Long non-coding RNA from Spinacia oleracea (spinach), 675 nucleotides. RefSeq lists it as uncharacterized. The transcript is spliced from 4 exons. Lineage: Eukaryota; Viridiplantae; Streptophyta; Magnoliopsida; Caryophyllales; Amaranthaceae. The record is from RefSeq and is a predicted model, not a curated record.
AGCUAUUCUACUGAGUGCUAAAACUACAAAUUUCCUUAACCGUUCCAUCACGCAUAUCACUCUCGCUCAAACCCUAAUGAGCGAAAACUCCCAAAAGAACAACUUCUCCUAUGCAAAUCCGAAACUCUCAAUUGUGUCUUUGCCAUUGAUAUUCAGUGGCAAAAAACGACUCAAUUUCACUUCAUGUGCUGGAUUUCAAAGGGGUAUGCUGCUCAAUUUUGUGCUAAAUUUCUGAGGUAUUGUUGCACAGGAGCAUGCUCUGAUUGAAUCCUUGUCAACAUAUCCACAGUAUUUGAGAAACAAAGCCGUCCAACGUGAUAAAGGUGCAACGAAAGAAUGAAGAAGCCUGGGACACUUGAGCUUCAUAUUAGCUACGUACUACAAACAAUCGUCUAUAUCCUAGUUGGUUAUUCUAGGCUUUAGUUUAUUUUACUAUGAAUUUUAGUUUUUCUAGGAUUAGUUUCUUUUACUAUGGAUUUUAGUUUUCUAGGCUUUAGUUUCUUUUACUAUGGUUUUUAGUUUUCUAGGCUUUAGUUUUAUUUAGCUACUAUGAACCAUCAUUUUUAAAUAAGUAUAUAGCUAGAUCCUAGUUAAUUAGUAAUGUGAAUUUGUACCGUACUUAUUGCUAGAUCCUAAUUAAUUAGUAACAUGAAUGUACUAUGGGUUUUAACAAAA